CGUCUAACAGUGGAAUAUGAGUAGCACAUUUGUAUGCACAACCACAUUGCAGUAGCUAAAGGGGCUUGUCCCCCUCUCCCUCAUGUCAUUAGCUAUCAAUAAUCAUUACCUAGUUAGCCAUUUGUAGAACAAGGUAAACACAGAGAAAACGAGAUGGAUUAAUUCCUCAUAGAUGAGAUGUAUCCUCUCAGCAUUACUCAAAAAAGGAUACCUGAUAGAUGAGAUGUAUACUCUUAGAAUUACUCAAAAUCACCGAGUUCACUUUCACAUACCUCAAGAUCAGGUAGAACAUUAUAUCUCUAAUUAUCCUCUACUCAAAAAGCAUUUCAAUUACUUGCAAAACCUGCCAUCACCAAGACAUCAACACUUGUAGCAAUAGACAUCGUAUAUCACAAUAUAUAUCAUCGGCUCAUCUCAUGUUGCCUAAAUCUACAUGGACCAAUCAAAUAAUUGUAGCCAUAUGAAAGAAAAAACUCAAACAGUUCAAAGAAAGGCAAAGAAUCUUCGGGCUCUGUAGCAACAAUGGGAUUGCUCUUAUUUUCGACAAACUCCUUUUGUGUAGAAGCAGUCAAUCAUGUCUAAAAAAAUCUGGAAACAGCUAGCAGGCUAACAAAUAUGGCAUUAUUACUGCACAUAACUGAAUGCAAAUUACAGUAAGGGGCAUAACCUGUGAAGAUGGCCAUCUGUCCUUGUUGCUGCAACUCAACGAACAUGUGAAAGGCACACCUGCAGUAGGAAGAUUCAGCAGCCACAUGCAGCAAGUCAGGAGUCGUGUAUGAGUAAAUCAGAGAAAGGAGAAAAGAUGAAAUCCAGAACAUAAGCGGGAAGAGAAAUUAGAUCCUUUUUACAUCAAAUCAAGGCUAAAAACAUGUUGAAACAUACCGGUGGGUGUCUAAGGAUUUAUGUUUUCCAGACCAAAGAAGAAAACGAUCUAGUUUUAAAGAAGAGAGUGAUUACCCUACCUCCAAUCAUCAGGGGCGUGCAGAUCUGAGUAGGGGGUCGAUCCGGAGAAACCAGCGUGCACCA
This 1026-nucleotide long non-coding RNA is filed under the name Triticum aestivum (bread wheat). Its description in RNAcentral is "long non-coding RNA (TAES_LNC014662)". Lineage: Eukaryota; Viridiplantae; Streptophyta; Magnoliopsida; Poales; Poaceae. The record is from RNAcentral.